Molecule: unclassified non-coding RNA, 246 nt
Filed under: fungal sp.
Lineage: Eukaryota; Fungi
Description: partial internal transcribed spacer region
Rfam family: Eukaryotic small subunit ribosomal RNA (bases 1-46)
Source: RNAcentral
AAGUCGUAACAAGGUUUCCGUAGGUGAACCUGCGGAAGGAUCAUUAGAAAAUUCUUUCUAUAUCAACACUUGUGAACUAUAUUCUUGUCUUUCCUGUGUAGAAGCCAGUUCUCUGGUGGACACAUGGGUUGAUAAACUCUUAUUGUUUGACUGAAAACUGGUGAAGCUCAGGAUACUUUAUGUAGAAUGAGUGGAUCAAACUUUUUUAAUAAAACAAAACUUUCAACAACGGAUCUCUUGGCUCUC